Molecule: ribosomal RNA, 467 nt
Filed under: uncultured bacterium
Lineage: Bacteria
Description: partial 16S ribosomal RNA
Rfam family: Bacterial small subunit ribosomal RNA
Source: RNAcentral
GACGAACGCUGGCGGCGUGCUUAACACAUGCAAGUCGAACGGAAAGGCCCUGCUUUUGUGGGGUGCUCGAGUGGCGAACGGGUGAGUAACACGUGAGUAACCUGCCCUUGACUUUGGGAUAACUUCAGGAAACUGGGGCUAAUACCGGAUAGGAGCUCCUGCUGCAUGGUGGGGGUUGGAAAGUUUCGGCGGUUGGGGAUGGACUCGCGGCUUAUCAGCUUGUUGGUGGGGUAGUGGCUUACCAAGGCUUUGACGGGUAGCCGGCCUGAGAGGGUGACCGGCCACAUUGGGGAUGAGAGCCGGCCCGAACUCCUAGGGGGGGAAGGAGGGGGGAAUAUUGCACAAGGGGCGGAAGCCUGAUGAAGCAACGCCGGGUGGGGGAUGACGGCCUUGGGGUGGAAAACCGCUUUCGCCGGUGACGAAGGGGGGGGAAGGGUAAUGGUAAAAAAAGCACCGGUAAAUUCCGG